RNAcentral lists this ribosomal RNA (245 nucleotides) under uncultured bacterium. RNAcentral describes it as "partial 16S ribosomal RNA". It matches the Rfam family "Bacterial small subunit ribosomal RNA", at positions 791 to 1035 of the family's 1533-position model. The record is from RNAcentral.
UAGUCCACGCCGUAAACGAUGUCGACUUGGAGGUUGUUCCCUUGAGGAGUGGCUUCCGGAGCUAACGCGUUAAGUCGACCGCCUGGGGAGUACGGCCGCAAGGUUAAAACUCAAAUGAAUUGACGGGGGCCCGCACAAGCGGUGGAGCAUGUGGUUUAAUUCGAUGCAACGCGAAGAACCUUACCUACUCUUGACAUCCACGGAAUUUGGCAGAGAUGCCUUAGUGCCUUCGGGAACCGUGAGAC